UUUUAGGUUUAGAUGAUGUUGAUGGUAAGUUUUAAUCCUGCAAACAAGGCCAUGAAAUGAAAAAGGAUUAAGCUGUGGUUGGUACGGUGGUCAUGAUGUUUGUUUGUGGAAGAUACCGGUGUAGUUAAGGAAACUUAGUGGGAGAGUAAGUUGCAUGAACAGUGUGAUAUCACACUAAAAAUUGUCAAACUAUUGCCUAAGUACUUCAUCAUAAUAUAUCUUAAUUUAAUAAAAUUGAUAAUGUAAUUCUUAUGGUUAUCAAUUUUAUUAUUUAAACUCCUCGCUAAGUGUGACAAUGGGCCAAUACAACAUAUAUAUAUAUAUAUAUAUAUAUAUAUAUAUAUAUUCUUAAGAGGCAUUUAGUAUUAUUCUAAUUUUAUGAAGAGUUUUUUAAAUUUUUAAACUAUUUAAUGAUUAUAAUAGCAUGAACUUUAUACACUAUAAAUAGAUCAAACCAUAUCUUACUUGAGAUGUAAAGAGUGAAAAAUAUAGCUGAAACUCUAAAAUUUGUUCAUGUUCUGAUUCUGCUUAUUUCCAUAUUUCUUGUUAUAAUAGUAUCUAGUUUUAUUUUUCUGCCUUGUAUAACAAAUAAAGAUUGUCAAACUUUGAAAAAAAAUAAGGGUAAGGGUAGAUGUCGUAAAGGCUUUUGUGUAGAUGGCUUGAUAGGAUGAACGAGUUCUUGCUGUAACAAAAGAAUUGUACAACAUAUUCUAUGUUAGAAUAUUCAAGGAGCUGUCAUUUGGUAUAUAUGUAUGCAUCAAAUAAUUGUAUUUUCCCGCUAUUUUAAAAGACCUUAAAGUUACGAUUUUAUACUAUAAGAUAAGAUAAGAUGACUUCAAUGCAAUGAAAUAAAACAGCAAAUAAUUUUAUUUAUAGAUGUCUUCUUAUCUUGUAAAUUUGAAGGUAUCUCCAUGAUUGACAUUCCGGGCAUAUCACACUUUUUAUCUUCCAACCCAACCAUCUAAAAUUAUUCCCUUAAUAGUUUAGUUGAAAGUUAAUUUUUUCUUACUUUAUAUUAAAAAAAAAAUAUUAUCCAUUCAAAUUUUUAGAUGAUGACAUAUUUGAAAAGUGCAUCAUAUCAUUUCAAUUAGGUUACCCUCUCCACAUGAAUUGUUGUUUUCGAGACGACAAUUAAACUAAACUAAUCCUCCUCACAACCUCCUCAAAAUUAGUCUUUGUGAUGAUGUGACAUCUCUCAAAAUGCUUCAUGUAACACCCUGUUUUCCCAACUUAAAAUUUUCACAUAUAAUCACAUAUAAAGCAGAAUGUUUUCAACGUAAACGGAAUGUCACACUACUUUUCAUAAAAUCAUAAACUGA
Molecule: long non-coding RNA, 1319 nt
Filed under: Medicago truncatula (barrel medic)
Lineage: Eukaryota; Viridiplantae; Streptophyta; Magnoliopsida; Fabales; Fabaceae
Description: lncRNA gene22517
Source: RNAcentral